This is a long non-coding RNA of Ictalurus punctatus (channel catfish), 1442 nucleotides long. The record is from Ensembl. Lineage: Eukaryota; Metazoa; Chordata; Actinopteri; Siluriformes; Ictaluridae.
UGUCCUUCUUUCUUUCCUUCUCCUUACUGCCCUGCUUUCUUUCUUUCUUUCUUCCUUUCUUUAUUUCUCCACCGUUUCUUUCUUGUCCCCUUCCUUCUUGCUUUCAUUCUUUCUUUCUUUCUUUCUUUCUUUCUUUCUUUCUUUCUUCUGUCCUUCCUUCCUUCCCUCUCCCUAAUUCCAUGUUUUUCUUUUUUUCUUUCUUUCUUCCUUCCUUCCUCCUUCCUUCCUUCCUUCUCCCUACUUCCCUGCUUUCUUUCUUUCUUUCUUUCUUUCUUUCUCCACUCUUUCUGAUUUGCCCACUUCCUUCCUUCCUUCCUUCCUUCCUUCCUUCUUUUUUUCUUUCUUUCUUUCUUUCUUCCUUCCUUUCUCAUUCCUUCCUUCAUUCUUCCUACUUCCCUGCUUCUGUCUUUCUUUCUUUGUUUCCCCUUCCUUCCUUCAUUCUCUCUCCUUUCCUGAAUCCUUUUUGUCCUUCUUUCUUUCCUUCUCCUUACUGCCCUGCUUUCUUUCUUUCUUUCUUCCUUUCUUUAUUUCUCCACCGUUUCUUUCUUGUCCCCUUCCUUCCUCCUCCCUUCUUUCUUUCUUUCUUUCUCUGUCCUCCUUGCCCUUGUAGUUUGAGACCUGCUGAUGUAGCUAACAGAACUAGCCCUGAUAAAGGGAUUAGGAGGGAAUAUGACUGCAGACCCCUCACCUGGCAGCUGCAGCAUAUUUUAGUUUAUUGAUAAUGAAUUGCAAUGUAGCUAAAACCCUAAACCUGCAGACAAAAAAAAAAAUCAACCCAAAAGUAACUGCAUUCUGCAAAGCAGCCAAAGACUUCGGUUAAAUAUCACGAGUUACAGCCUGGAGAGCCUGCUCUUCUUCUGUCAGCUCUGGUUAUAGUGUUAGGAUUAUAAAAAGAAAAAGAAAAGAAAAAGGAUAUAUUAUUAUUGCUCAUUACACCAGGAUCCUUUGUGUCUUCUGUGUCAGCUUGCGUGACAGUUGGGUGCAAAGGUUUGGGUUAAAAAAAAAGGAAAAUGUCUUACAGUUGAGCUACACAGCACAGAAGAAUUCCAACAAGUUCAAACUUUUACGUGAGUGAAUAAAACACAAGGCAAAAUCAGUCAGGAAUAUUCUGCAAGCAGGCUUUAUUUUGCUGUAGGUUCAAUUAUUCAUUUUAUUCUGAAGAUGUGCAAACUUUUGCACUCAGCUGUAUCACAUCUGUGAUUUUACAUUUUGGAUAUUAUUAAUAGUUAUUUAAUCUGAAUCUGGGGGGGAGGGGGGAACUGGCCACAUGAACAUGAAUUUCUUUCCUUCUUGCUUUCAUUCUUUCUUUCUUUCUUUCUUUCUUCUGUCCUUCCUUCCUUCCCUCUCACCAAUUCCCUGCAUUUCUUUCUUUCUUUCUUUCUUUCUUUCUUUCUUUCUUUCUUUCUUUCUUUCUCCUCUCAUUCUUCCUUCCCUCUCCCCAA